CUUGAAAACAUUUAAAAAAAUAUUAAAGUCCCCAAACUUUUAAACAUGAGUGUAUCUUAGGAUCUAUUCCAAAUCCUACUGAGCUGAUCAUGUUGAGGCAUAAUUUGUGUGCUACAGACGCAUAAUUAUGCUGCCUUAUAACUUAUGUAACAUUCUUUUAGCCACAUUUUAAGACAGCACUGCAUGGUUCCUUUGUGGUGAAGGCAAUCCCAAGGAUUUCCAUAAGCUCAGUAAGAUAAAAAAAAAAAAAAAAAUGUAUCCAAGAUGAGAGACAAAGCACAAAGCAAUUCAAGCGUUGAUUCUAAAUAUCAUUUAAUCCAAUAAAAAUGCCCUGUGUGUUAUUUACAGUGUUGCUGACAAUUAAGCGCAUUCUAAAUCAGUCACUUAUGAGCUUCCAUUUCAGUCAGGAAUCUGCUUUAGAAGGCGACUGCCAGUGUAUACAGGCAUUAGACACCAAGGCAGCUCACUAGGUUUUGGGACAGAGUCCGAGUGUUUAGACGGCCGACUCUGAGAAAGCUCGUUCUGUGAAUGGGGAAUCUGCGCCGGCCGAAUCCAGCUCUCCCUCUCCUCCAGUACAGCUGCUCCAGACUCACGUGUUGCUAUUCCUAGCCGCACCCAGGAGCUAUAAAUAGCUGUCUUUCUUUGCAGACCGCUGGAACACGUGCCGUCAGCCUUCGAGGCAAGAGGAGCCAAUCAGUGGAGAAACUGGAACCAUGUGAUUUUAUUGUUUUUAGAUGGAAGUUAUGGUCAUAUCUGUGUUUGUGGAGAUAAAAUGACUGUCCUUCACAGAAGAGCUCUAUUGAAGAAUGUUAUGUUUGCCUUUGAAUAGAUGGAUAAGUCAAAGAAUACAACAAAAGCGGAAGACGUUUUAUCAGAUAUACAGGAGCCACAAAUCUGGAGAAAUGUAGCAUUGCAUCACUGUCUCAGCAAUGGAUCCUCUGCAGUGAAUGGGUGCCGUCAGAAUGAGAGUCCAAACAGCUGAUAAAAAGUGGUCUGGCCUGAAUCAGGAGCGAAAUCUGCACAGAUCAAGCACCGUUUACAAGACAAACAGACCAAAACAGCUCUAAACAAAUAUGUGGGUGGAUUAUGAUGUGAGAGACAACAGGAGAUGGAGCGUGAUUAUGGAUUAUGGACUUGGAAGUGACGGUUUAAAGGUAAAAUGCCUUAACAGAUUUGUUUUAGAAUCUGAAGAAACAAACUCAUCUACAUCCUAAAUACCUGAGGUUUUCUUCAGUCUUGAUGAUGCUUUGUUAAUGGUUACUGACUGCAGUGAUGUCAUCCGAAGAGAAAUCCUCUUCAGCUUAACUUGAUGCGCACAUGCAACGGAUCUCAGUGAAGAUGUGUUGCUCGGCAACCGUACGCAGAAGUGAGGAGUGGGAGUGGACUCUGACUGAGCCGAAUGACGCAAAACAGCAUUUAUCACCAGCACACGUUCAAUAUUUCUGCUAACCUAUUCAGGGCCUUUAAAGAAAUAAACAUAUUUAUUGCUGCACAAAGAAUACGCCCUAUAUGAAUAAAAUAACACAUGUGAGUGUCGCCAUAGCAACUUUUGGAAACUUAAUCACAUCUGUGAUGAUCUGUAAUAUCCUAAGUAAAAACUGAACCAGAGCAGAGUGGGGAGUUAUUGUGCUUAGAUUGUAAAUCAUCAAGUCCAAGCUUGUUGGAAACUCUGUGUUGUGAAAUCUGGCAUACAGAAGUAAUUUACUCAGUGUUCAG
Cyprinus carpio carpio is the source of this 1716-nucleotide long non-coding RNA. Lineage: Eukaryota; Metazoa; Chordata; Actinopteri; Cypriniformes; Cyprinidae. The record is from Ensembl.